GGAACAGGAGGCAGAGUCCCACCACGACGCCGCAAACUGCUCCAGCAAUCAUGCCAAUAUUUUGGGCAUCUGUUAACAGGGUAUCGGUCACAGUAUCUGUUGAUCUGGGCAGAGCAUCUAUCACAUCAUUCUCCUGUCUGCGUCAGCCUGAACACACUGAUGGGGAAAUCAAAGCUCCAAAAGGACUCAAAGCCACCUGCUGGGAUCGCAGUGGAGAUGACAGGAAAAUUAACAACCAAAAGAUUUCAAUUUCAUCAGUGAAAAGCUUUCAGUCCAAUUAAAUAAGGUCACCACAGACCUGACAGACAGCCCACACUCUUGCAAUAAAGAUAGUAUUAAGUUAUGUAUGCCAUUUCUCAGGCAUUCAUCACUGUAUUUUGUACAGGAGGUCACUAUUUUCACCUUAAGCAUGGGAGAGCAUUCUGCUCCAUCUUCCAGGAGAUAGGAAAGCUGGAUAACAGAGUUCCCCUACCCAGAAGGACAAACUCUCUCAACUUUCAUAGCAUACCUCAAAGACUGAUGCAAGCCUAAUGUUUAAUCUCGUCCAACUGCCUAAGACAUUUUUCCCUGGCAUCUACUCUCAACACUCAUAUAUUAUGCACUACUUUCUUUUGGAUUGAAAGUAGCCAUAGAGAAUAUAUGAACAGUGACUGCUAUUUAAAAUGCAGAAAUAACACUUAAUCUGCUACAUCAACUCUUCCCUGUCUGCAGACUGAACAUAACUGAUGGUGUGUGCUUAUAAAGCAUGCGUAAUCAUUACCUGCUCAAUUACUGUUGUUAUAAUGCAUGGUUUAGCAAUAAGCACUGCCUGUUGUGGGGCUCUACCAGUUCCCUGUAUUAAGGAAAUUCUUAAUGUUUUGUUUCCAUUUCUACAUCAUAAUCAGGCCCUAGCUUUAUGCACGUGGGCUCAGGAUAUUUUUCCUUUUCUUUACAUUAUCAGUCUGCUUGCCACAUCUUUGCUGAAGGGGAUUCCUCACUUUAAGUCCUUCUCUCGGUAGGGCAGGAUGGCCUCCUUUGGUUGAGGAUUAUAGGCUCUGACAGUGCCGAGACAGAAAAAUAAAGCUCUAGAAUGAUUUAAAGCAAUGAGCAGGGCUGCUGCCCUAAGACCAGUUACAUGCACCCAACUACCAUUGUCUCCUGCAACUCAGACCCACUCUAAAUAUGGCCUUCUCCUGGACUUUAUCCAGUGGGAACACAUGAGUGUACACCUGGUGGUAACCAUCUCCCCCUCCAGGGGCAGGGAGGAAAGGGACAAGAAUAUUUACCAUUUUC
This is a non-coding RNA of Meleagris gallopavo (turkey), 1272 nucleotides long. The record is from RefSeq and is a predicted model, not a curated record. NCBI's taxonomy places the organism in Eukaryota, Metazoa, Chordata, Aves, Galliformes, Phasianidae.